This 446-nucleotide ribosomal RNA is filed under the name uncultured Oscillospiraceae bacterium. Its description in RNAcentral is "bacterial SSU rRNA". It matches the Rfam family "Bacterial small subunit ribosomal RNA", at positions 337 to 798 of the family's 1533-position model. Lineage: Bacteria; Bacillati; Bacillota; Clostridia; Eubacteriales; Oscillospiraceae. The record is from RNAcentral.
UCCUACGGGGGGCAGCAGUGGGGAAUAUUGGGCAAUGGGCGCAAGCCUGACCCAGCAACGCCGCGUGAAGGAAGAAGGCUUUCGGGUUGUAAACUUCUUUUGGCAGGGACGAAACAAAUGACGGUACCUGCAGAAUAAGCUCCGGCUAACUACGUGCCAGCAGCCGCGGUAAUACGUAGGGAGCAAGCGUUAUCCGGAUUUACUGGGUGUAAAGGGCGCGUAGGCGGGAAUGCAAGUCAGAUGUGAAAUCUGAGGGCUCAACCCUCAAACUGCAUUUGAAACUGUAUUUCUUGAGUGAUGGAGAGGCAAGUGGAAUUCCUAGUGUAGCGGUGAAAUGCGUAGAUAUUAGGAGGAACACCAGUGGCGAAGGCGACUUGCUGGACAUUAACUGACGCUGAGGCGCGAAAGCGUGGGGAGCAAACAGGAUUAGAUACCCGAGUAGUCAC